UUUACUCUGUUAUGUAAGCAAAUAGUAAUUUGGUGUCAUAUUGGAAUUGUAAUUUUCAGGAAAAAUUUUAAAAAUCAGUAUUUGUCUGGUCUGAGCCGGGAAGACAAUAUUCGAAUUUCCAUAAAAUAGACAAGAGAAAUCGCAGACUUCAUUGAGGGUAGGGCCAUUUCCGAAUAUGCAAACUAAGUACAGAGUCCCCAGACGGGAAAUGCUUGCCUAUGCAAAUGGGAGGGUCGCAGAACGCAAACAAAUCAAGCGACCCGAACAACGCCCCGUUCCCAGGACGAACUUUAGUAGCGAACCUCGGCGGGUAAACGGGCUGAAUUAAAAUCGAGAGGGGAACAAAAAAAUGCGAGAACAAUGGAUUGGGCUGGAGUGGAAUCAUGAAAGUAAACUAAUUAAAAUGUAAUGAAUUCAGAAAGUUCUUCGGCAUUUGGGGCUAUAAUUCACCAUUAAUGCAGCCAACAGAAUUCACUUGCAGUUGUGGUUGUGUUCACUGCUUCUUUCUGAAUUUACGACCGCAAUAAAAGUCAUGGAAAUA
Molecule: long non-coding RNA, 541 nt
Organism: Drosophila gunungcola (fruit fly)
Lineage: Eukaryota; Metazoa; Arthropoda; Insecta; Diptera; Drosophilidae
Exons: 3
Source: RefSeq, a predicted model, not a curated record